GACGAACCGUGCGACCGUUAUUCGGAAUCACUGGGCUUAAAGCGCGUGUAGGCGGGCCGGCACGUCGGUCGCUGAAAUCCCCCGGCUCAACCGGGGAAGGGGCGCCGAUACGACCGGCCUGGAGGGGCGUAGGGGGACCUGGAACUUCCGGUGGAGCGGUGAAAUGCGUUGAGAUCGGAAGGAACGCCCGUGGCGAAAGCGAGGUCCUGGACGCCUGCUGACGCUGAGACGCGAAAGCCAGGGGAGCGAACGGG
RNAcentral lists this ribosomal RNA (254 nucleotides) under uncultured bacterium. RNAcentral's name for it is "partial 16S ribosomal RNA". It matches the Rfam family "Bacterial small subunit ribosomal RNA", at positions 524 to 776 of the family's 1533-position model. The record is from RNAcentral.